Molecule: long non-coding RNA, 2334 nt
Organism: Pan troglodytes (chimpanzee)
Lineage: Eukaryota; Metazoa; Chordata; Mammalia; Primates; Hominidae
Source: Ensembl
GGGGUGCGGGCGGGACCCCCGGCCACCCCAUCCCUUGCCCCGGCCGCGUGUAGGCGCCGCGCGGCCCCGACCCGCGCCCUGCGCGCUCCUGUGCCUCGGGGACCCCGCGCGCUCGGCGCUGGUGGGGGCUCCCCAGGUGACCGCGGGGCAGGGGUCCCGGGCCCGGCCCUCCCGGCCGACAGCAGCGUCCGCGCCCCACGCUGGAGGUGGGGCCGGGGCCGGGGCUCGGGCUGGGGCCAGGGUCGGCCGGAGCGCGCAGGGCGGGGGAGGGGAGGCCGCCCCACGGCGGCCCGCGGGGACCCGGUUCCGGCGCGCGCGGGAGGCGCCUCGUGCGGAGGCGGCCCGAGGCCUAGUGACAGGCGCGCGGCGCGGACCCCGGAAGCCCACCUGUCAGAGUUACCGGUCAGCCGGGCGGGCGCCGCCGGGGUCUGGGGUGGACGCCGCGAGCCUGCACGUUGCGCCGGGACCCCGGGGCUGUGCCCAGGUGGGUGGUGGGGCACCCCCCUGCAGCGGCGGGAGGGAGGCGCUGCGCCCUGGCUGCCGGGGCUCGGCCCCACCCUCGGCCGCUGGGCGGGCCGUCGGGGACCUGGGGGUCGUGGUGGUGACCCUGCGGGCCCGCGGGCCACUUUUUCGCAGGGGGCAUUUCCGUCUGGCGAGGCGACUUAAAAUCCUGAGUGUGGGAGUCGGUUUGGCCAGCUCCGCUCUCAGGAUGGAGGGUGCCUUUGGGAAGGAAGAAAAAUCAUUUUUCUUCUCUGGGAAGGUGAACAUUUGUAGCAUUGAUUUCCCGGAUCUGGUAACAUGGCAAAAGAUUGUUUAUUUUCAGACUUUUAAAGCGUCUGAAGCGGGAUGAAGGUGAAAGAUGGAAGGAUCUGAUCUCUGAAGCUGCGGUCACCACCCACAAGUUGUGGCCUUGGAUACCACACUGUGCAGUUGGGUGGUGAUGGGGUGGUGCCUUCUGACUUUUUCCUUAUCUUUACCGACUGUGUUAAUUGAUAAUUUUAAAUAAACGCCUUAAUUAAAUUGAGGUGGAGGGUGUUGCAGCACCACAGCGAAUCCUGCGUUUCUUGGGGGGCUUCCACAUGAGAUGCUGGACGGGGGCCAGGCUCAGGGCUCAGGCUGUAGCCACCUGCUGGCACCUGUCUUCCUACAGAGGAAGUUAAUUCCACUUGGGUGGACCAAGAGCUAAGCACUUGUUUUGGCCACUUUUUUUCUCAGAAGGAUGAGAUUUCCUGAUUUAUGAAAUCUGGUAAAAAGUGCUACUUAGUCUGCUUUGCAGUUGUCAUGAAACUAUAGAAUAUUUUGAAAAUUUUUUAAAGCCAGAAAUUUAGUCUAUUUUAUUGGUGUGCGGUUCUUUACCGUGCUUGGUUAUGUCAGUCACUGAAACACCAGCUGGAUUCUUUAGUGUUUCCCACCGCGCAUCGCUCUGUAACUGAGUGAAAGGGGCUGUUGAUGUGUUUACCUACUUACCGCAGAGUUGGAAAGAGUCCGCACAUGCUGCCUCUGCCUGAGAUACAUCUGUAGCGAAAAUGCAUCCAGAGUGUGGAGCCCUCUCCAUUGGCGCAGAGGUUUCAGUGGUCCCUGCGAGGCCUUUUGGGGUGUCUGCCCUCCCUGACCUGCGACCAGGCAUGUCACACGGCAUCCCUGCCUUCAAGCACUGGGGUCCCCUUUAGAGAGGGUGUGUGAGCACCCAGGUGGACCCAAUGUGGGUUUUUGAAGUCAUAUCUGUGUGUGCUGCGAGGCUACUUUUAUCCUCUCCACUGUGCUUGUCCGUACCAUGCCCUGACCUCGUGCGGGCAUGCACUCAGAAUGCCAGAUGUGGGCAUGUGCUCAGUGCGCAAGCCAUGUUCAUUACGUCUCCUCACGGUGAGGAGCUGGACCCAGGGCCUCGGUUAGAGCACGCUUCUGGUGUUGUGUGGUUUCCUGUGUGGUUUCCUCAGAUGGUUCUCAAACACGCUUUGAUACAUAAUGGAUGGUGUCUUCGGUGCCCUCUUUCAUUCCCCCUUGAUUUCACUGGCACUGUCUGUGAGCAGCAUGUAGUGUGAGGCUGGGGGUGGGGGGCGUGUGGAAAGGUGGUCCGGCUCUGCAGGACCCUGAAUGCUCCAUCCAGUGUGGGCACCUGAGACGCAGCAUUUGUCAGGGACUGCAUAGGCACAGGGGCUGGGGGCUCACCUUGCACUCAGGGGUUGUGAUCUGAGUUGGGGGUUGGCGCUGGGAGGAGAGUAGGAUUCUACAGCUGGUGAGGCCUUCCCUGCUCAAAGCCUGGGAGUGGUCAGGAGUGCUGGGUCUGGAUGGAAAGUGAGGUUGUGAACAAGUCAAGGAAUUUGAUGUUUUCGC